Molecule: long non-coding RNA, 5401 nt
Filed under: Gallus gallus (chicken)
Lineage: Eukaryota; Metazoa; Chordata; Aves; Galliformes; Phasianidae
Description: lncRNA (ENSGALG00010022570.1)
Source: RNAcentral
UUCUAAUCCCUUCUUAGCAUGCACCAUAUACAAAGUGGGACUUUUAAGGUAAGAGGAAAAGCAGGAAUAUUUUAAGAACUGCUGAGUCCCUUGGUAAGCUACUUUCCAAGGAGGUUACCCACCAGCUUUCUGUGAGAUUUUGAUCUUGUUCUCUUGAAUUGAAGAGAGUCCUGUGGUCUUCAGUAGACUAGACAAUAUUGAAUGCCAAGUUUUUACUAGUUUGUCAAGUAUCUCAUUGCUGUUCACUAUCUGCAAUGUUCCUUGGGUUACUGUGAAAGGCCUGGACACCUUUUGUAUUACAAAUUCAACAGAUUUGUGGUAUUUUGUGUACCUACAAGAAUAUGGAGAAGUAAUUGAGUUUGCACAAUAACAUUUGCCUAUGACUAGAGGAAAUUAAGCAGAAUGGAGUCUUGUCUUGUGUAUUCCAGUAGGUACAACUGAAUCCUUGAAAACUUCUAUGUCAGUGAAAUUAAUUUUGUGGGAUCUGUAACUAUAGCUGCUAAGAGUUCCAACUGUACAACUGUAGUAAGGAGAAAAGUAAUCAUUUUAUGAUGUCGUUUCUUAAAUAUAAGAGUGAGAUAUUUUAAUGCAGUCCAGAAAGAUGCACCAACCUACAGCAGCCAGUGAGACAUCAGCUCCACCUACAGCAAAGGCUGUUCCAUAGCUCUCACAGAAACACAACAAACAGGUCCAAAACAUUGGCACUUGCAGUAGUUCCUCUUGCUCAGGAAGAUUACCUUACCGCAAGGAGAUACAAAGAAGCAGUGGAUUAAAGAGGCCUGCAGGGAAUUACUGAGUCCUAUGCAACUUCAUACAGAGGAAUUUUUAACAAUAGAGGCAAAUAACUAUUAGAAAGUACUUUAUUAUGGAAAAUAUGAAAACCGAAUUGACGUAUCUUCUUCCUGAAGCAAUCAGGAUUUUUCAUAUUUCUAUUAUGAACUGAAAACAAGACGUGCAGCCUGCCCAGAAGCAUCCUGAGCCUCAAAUCCCUUAAUCUCUCAAGUGCGAUCUGUGGUGCCAGCUAUGCUGGGGAGGGUAGGAAAUUUCCCAUAAAAGAUUCCCAAUGUCAAUUAAAAAUUCUGCAUUUGCUUCUUAGUUUAUCUGAAACUGAAGAAGGUGGCUCUUUCUUGCAGUCAAAACAUGUCAUAUGCAUAUUCUCACACAGAAAGCAGUGGAGGUUCUGAAGCCUAUCUUAGAGUGUGUUUGAUUUCCUGGCUGCCUUAUUUGUUUACAACAAUGCUCUUAAAAUUGUCUCUACCAUCUGUGUGGUUUCUAGUUGUUUGAAUGAGAAUGAGAUAUUAAAAUGCCAUCCAGAUGUCUCGUUGCAUAUCAGCAUUAACAUAUUAUGCAAAUUGUCACAAGGAUAGGUUUUUUUUCUUCUUAAACAAAACAAUAUUUUUAGAUGGAAUGGAGAGAAAUAAAUCUGUGAAGGAUGACAAGGGAAAAAAUGCGCUGAGCAUAUUCAGCUGAACUUUUCAAUCAUUUUUUAUGAAAGGGUUAGGUACAAAGUGUCCUUAGUUUUUUUACCAUAAAUCUGUAGAAGAACAAUUGGGUGAAAACACGAUAAUAAACCAACAAAGUACCUCUAAACCCAAAUAUCUCAGAAAAUGAAUUCAACAAAGUGAAAUACAAAACUUGCCUCUGUGUAUUUAUCUCACAAGAACAGGACUUUGCGAAGAAUGAUAGCAGUUGUCUGCUGGCUACUAAGCAUCCAAUUUAAAGAAACCUUUGUCUCUUAUUCUGCAGAUAUUUACAUUUGGAGACAGAAUCAACAGUGCAAGGCCAGACCUGUGCCCUCAUUGCUCUCAAAAAUAAGAAGAGAUGUCUGGAAAUUAAAGCAAGUGUCUGAGAUUAUACUGUUUUCUUGCAUCUUGACUCUUACAGCUAAGGACAAACGUGAUGCUGUUGCCUGUGUUUUCCUUAGAACCACAGAACGGCUUGAGUUGGAAGGGACCUCAGUCAUCAUCCAGUUCCACUCCUACACCAUGGGCAGGGUUGCCAACUUACUCAGGCAUCUUUAUGGGCACAGAGCAGCAUAUGCCUCUGCCCUUCACAAUGACUUUCUUCAAGCACUUGAUGAAGACAUAUACCAUUCUGAACCACAUUUGAGGGUGUUUCCAACUAAGCUUGCUGAGGGAUGAAGCUAUAAGGACUCAUUGCCAAGAAAUGCUAGUGGAUACACACCUUCACCCCUCUCGCAGAGAACUAUUGAUGGGCUCACGUGGCUGAGAUAUUUAUGAAGAAACUUCUUGUACAAGACCUUGUCCCUGACGAGCUUUUAAUGAUGAGGAAGCGACUCAACAAUCGAUGCUCAAGAGGUUGAAAUAAGAAAGCCACUCCAGCCACAUAGGAACCAUUGCAGAACUCCAGGGAUGCUUCAUUGCAGCAUGACAAAAGUUAGGAGCGAUGCUGUGGAGCGAUGGGGCUCUGUGGAGGAACAAAGCAAGAAUUCUUGUGCUCACUGCUGUAUUCUCCUUCAACACACACUGAAAAAUAAUGGUGGAAAUAAAAAGAAUAAACCAUUUUGCCGCUGACAUUAUUUACCUCGCUUUAACAUAACACUUAAGACAGUGCUGCAAGUAAAACCUGGCCAGUCUGCAUUGCACCCUGAGCACCUGCAAAAGCUGGAGAUGGCAAAAAGCACCGUGGAGAUAACCCACUGCGGAGGAACACACUGCACUUCGGACAGCAAGGAAGUGUCAAUGCUGCCAGCACCUCUGCGUGGGGACUCCUGAAAGUCACACUGCAUUACUGCUUCAGUGUGGAAACUCAAUUGCUUAUCCUUUAUGGGAGAUAAUCUUUGAAUGUAGCAGUGUACCGCAUUAACCCCAUUUGUCCACAAGACAGUCAACGUGUCUAUAAAUCCUGUCUAUAUGGGGGGCUACAGUUGGGUGACAUCCUCUUUCUGCACUAUGGAGUCCUUGUAAAACAGGCUUAAUAUAGCAAUAAACCUGUUUAUUUUUGUUACGGUUCUUCCAUCACUCUCUUACUGCUUCUGUUUUCUUUUUGAAAGCACUCGAUUGUACCAUUCUCUGUCUGUUUUCAGCACCAUAAAAUGAAAUUCACCUCAUUGAUCAAACGAUGACCUCUAUCCAGUGCCUCUUAGAUUAGAGAUAACAGCAGGCUGCUGUCUAACUGAGAAAUAAUUCCUUCAGCUCCUUCAGCUCUCUUUAUUAUGAUUGCUUCCUAAAAUAUCACUUAAAACUGGGAUGGAAACAAAUGAGAAUGUCUUCUCUCAAUGUUUGCGUUUUGACUCACCAAUACACACAAACACACACUGCGGUGUGCAUUGUUCUAGAAUAAUUCAUUCAUUUUCCCCCUAGAAGAUGAAGAAAACAUUUAACUGCACAUAACUGAAGGAAGAAAGGAGCAAAAGCGGAUUGACAUAAUGCCUACCUUUUGCCGGAAAGACUUUGUGCUUUAAAACAGGAAAAAAUGGUAGCGGUACAUUCGUGUGAAACUCAAAUUGUGCUACUCAGGAACAGGUUUUUAAAUAUCAGCAUUAAAGAUCGCAUUAGAAUACAUUAUCACAUUCUGUGCCGUAGCAUGUGUUACGUAUUUGUAACAAGGGAAGCAUGAAAGACUAAUCAUACACGGGGAAUAAUGGCAUGUUUUCAUGGCGAGAUUUGCAAGGCAUUAUCCCAGACAUUCCCUUCUGGUGGGGCAGGAAAAGGGAGAUUCUGUUCUGCAUUAUGCUGCUCAGCAUCUGCUGCUGGAUGGGACGCUGUGAAGGUGUUAGGUCUGUGGUGACAUUUAUCCCCAAAUAGGCAUAAAUGUGUGCAUUAUUUCAGCUAUUUCAGGUCUAUUGAUGAGCUGCAGGAGAUCACAGAAUCAUGGAAUCGUUAAGGUUGGCAAAGACCAUUGAGAUCCUCAAGUCUAACCCCAACCCAUCCCCACCAUGCCCACUGACCAUGUCCCUCAGUGCCACAUCAGUACUGGAGCACCUCCAGGGACAGAGACUGCUCCCCAUGCCCUAGGCCCUACCACCCUGGCUAAGCAGUGGGAUUUCAAGGGGACUUGUCUGCCUUCAUGAAGCCUCUCAGCUUCAGCCUGACUGCCCUUCAGUUCUCCAUACUGAAUAAUGCAUUUUUUUCAGGAAUGAAACAAACCUUUUCCCCCAACAAAACAUUGAGUGCCUCAGACACUGGAAUGGGUUUUUGACAGCUGAUCUUAUUUCAUCAAGUAAUAUGUCAUCAAAGCAACACAAUUCUAAUAGUGUCUUACACCAGUACAGAUGACAUGUUACACAAAUGUACUGACCCAGCAAUGCUGGCUCGAUGACCCCUUUGCACUAACAUAAGUUACCCAGCAGAUGCCUUUUCCAGCAUAUUGGGAUUUUCCUGCUUUGUUAAAGACAGAUAAUAGGGAGAAAAUUAUUUUCUUUGUGGCUGUAGUGUGUACCACUGCCUCUUCCAGGUGAUGCAAAUAAGCUGUGACUGAAGUAGUCUGAGAGGGAGUGUUAUGAAGUUAAGAAACUUAACGCUGCCUUUCUUGCUUUAACCAAGGGGACAGACCACUCUUCAGAAUUCUGUCCCAGUAGACAAAAGACAGACUUAAGAGUCUGCACUGAGAUAUCUGCCAUGGACUCUAUGUUCUCCAGUGGCCAAUUGUGAAGUCUAAACAGAAAUUGCCACACCCAGGCUUGAAAACUCAAGAGUGUGCUCCCAAGAGAAAAGUGCAGCAAUUUCUCAAGGCCUAUCUAUCACAGAGCUAUGGAAUAAAGACAGCCUGAACAGCCCCUAGCUGGGAAAAUUAUCAUCUGGGAAUCAUCUCCGUGUUCUUGAGAAGAAAGUCCUUGGGGCACAGAAUCUCCUCUGACUACGCUUGGUCCUUGACACUGUACUGAAAUAACACAAGCAUUACUAAUUCUGAAAACUUGUUCUGCACGAAACUAUCUGCAUGCUCCAAAUUUCCCUGUAUCAUGCACUGUCCCCUUUAAAAACCAACCAACCAACCAAAUAAAACAAAAAACAACAAAGGACAAGUCAUAAUAGCCCCAUUGUUCCCCCAUAGGUGCAAGGAACUAAAGUUUCAGAUGGUCACAGUUUUGGGGUAAUACCAGAUAUCCCUCACUGCACGGCACACAUUGCAAUGAGAACCUGCCAGUGCUUCAGACAACUCGAUCCAUUCUGGGAUUUUCAAAACUAGUAAAAGCACACAGAGAGGUUGACAGAUACAUUUGCUGUGUAAUAUUGGCUCUGCAAUGCUAAUAUUGGCUGUUGCCUGACAUUCUAUAUAGCAACAUUUAUAUAACCAAAGUCCCUAUCAUUUCUAAGUUAUCUGAUGCACCAUGAAAUUUCAAGGCAGUGAUUCCAUUUUCUUUGCUGAUCAACUUAAAGCUCAUGAUGAAUCAAGUAAUAUCAAAGAAGAUAAAUUAUGCAGCUGUUUAUUUACAGUUUAC